UACGGAGGGUGCAAGCGUUGUCCGGAAUCACUGGGCGUAAAGGGCGCGUAGGCGGCUCGGUAAGUAGGGGGUGAAAUCCUGGAGCUCAACUCCAGAACUGCCUUUGAUACUGAGGAUCUUGAGUCCGGGAGAGGUGAGUGGAACUGCGAGUGUAGAGGUGAAAUUCGUAGAUAUUCGCAAGAACACCAGUGGCGAAGGCGGCUCACUGGCCCGGUACUGACGCUGAGGCACGAAAGCGUGGGGAGCAAACAGG
Molecule: ribosomal RNA, 253 nt
Filed under: uncultured bacterium
Lineage: Bacteria
Description: partial 16S ribosomal RNA
Rfam family: Bacterial small subunit ribosomal RNA
Source: RNAcentral